RNAcentral lists this transfer RNA (73 nucleotides) under Stegodyphus mimosarum. It matches the Rfam family "tRNA". From Rfam's summary of the family: Transfer RNA (tRNA) molecules are approximately 80 nucleotides in length. Their secondary structure includes four short double-helical elements and three loops (D, anti-codon, and T loops). Lineage: Eukaryota; Metazoa; Arthropoda; Arachnida; Araneae; Eresidae. The record is from Rfam by way of RNAcentral.
GCCUUCAUGGUGUAGUGGUCAACACGCUGGGCACGUAUUCUAGAGAUCCGCGGUUCGAGUCCCGGUGAAGGCA